AGCGAACGCUGGCGGCAGGCCUAAUACAUGCAAGUCGAGCGCCCGGGGCAACCCGGGAGCGGCAGACAGGUGAGUAACACGUGGGACCAUGCCCUUCGGUUCGGACUAACUCGGGGAAACCCGUGCUAAUACCGGAUACGUCCGUAAGGAGAAAGAUUUAUCGCCGAAGGAUUGGCCCGCGUCUGAUUAGCUAGUUGGUGGGGUAAUGGCCCACCAAGGCGACGAUCGGUAGCUGGUCUGAGAGGAUGAUCAGCCACACUGGGACUGAGACACGGCCCAGACUCCUACGGGAGGCAGCAGUAGGGAAUAUUGGACAAUGGGCGCAAGCCUGAUCCAGCCAUGCCGCGUGGGUGAUGAAGGCCCUAGGGUUGUAAAGCCCUUUCGGCGGGGAAGAUAAUGACGGUACCCGCAGAAGAAGCCCCGGCUAACUUCGUGCCAGCAGCCGCGGUAA
This 451-nucleotide ribosomal RNA is filed under the name uncultured bacterium. RNAcentral describes it as "partial 16S ribosomal RNA". It matches the Rfam family "Bacterial small subunit ribosomal RNA", at positions 29 to 523 of the family's 1533-position model. The record is from RNAcentral.